AGGAAAAACCGCCGAGAUGGGCAGCGGCCCGCUCGCUCCACACGUUCUGAGACCCGGAGACGACCCAGUGCCGAGCUUCGCCUUCUCCUUACUGCUUCCUCUGCCAUUUUCUCUCCUCCGGGUCAUCGUGAGGAGCGAUCUCCUCUAGAUCUGUUGAUGGAGGUUGAAGGUUUUGCAUACUCACUCGUGGCCACCUGUUGACUACUCUGGGCUAUGGUUUGUGUCCAUCUAUGGUGCUCCUGUCAGAAAUCGUGUACACGUUCAUCCUUGCAGAUUUCUGCUACUACUACGUGAAGAGAUGAUUCAGAUGGUCCAACAGCAACAGUAACAGGUUCGCCCCAGCGACGGAUGGAUGGCCAGUGGCCGGCAAAGUGCGACGAUUCCUUCUCCUCUUUGAUCAAAGCUAAAGAGUGGCAAUCGGGAUCCAAUCCAGAAGAACUACCCGGAUCUCAGUUCUUCCCGCACCCGGCGCCGCGGGAUGGGAAGGCUGAGCAAAGUUGAGGAAUGGGACGAGCUACUCGAUUCUUUUUUCGCGAAAACGCAAAAGCCUUGCGUUUCGAUGCAUUGAUAGAUAAAGAAGUUUCAAUGCAUUGAUAGAUAAAGAAGGUUUGUAUGUACAAUGUCCUCAAGAAGGACCAAUGCCACGCCGUACAACUCAACCCAAAAGACCUAAUCUAGGGGAGGAGUUGGCGAAGCCCUUGGGCGCCGCGCCUCGGCCCUGAUGUCACUGAAUAAGGAGGUCACCGAGGGACGCGCGUUGUCGAAGACCGCCGCGUUCCUGUGCUUCCAAAUCCACCACGCCGUGAGCAUGAUGAGUGACGAUGUUCUUUUGCGCAACUGGCGUGGGGAGGUCCGCACCACCAGCGACCACCACUCCACGAAGUCACCCUCAACCGUAGGAGGCCCAGCUGUGGAUCGAAUCCACGACAGAAUCUCAAACCAAACUGUCCUAGAGAAGGAGCAACCGAUCAGGAUGUGCGCCAUGGUCUCCACUGACUGGUCGCACAGCGGGCAUCUUGUCGCAUGGGGCAGUCCCCGACGCGUCAGACGCUCACUCGUCUAGGACCUAUCUUGGCAAGCAAGCCAGAUAAAGAACACUAACCUUGGUAGCGCCUAGGAUUUCCAGUUCAGCUUCCAGGAGCCUGAUAAGAUCGCCCCCUGGAAGAGGGCGUCAUAACAUGAGCUGGAGGAGUACUGGCCAUCCGUCGUCCAACGUCAAACCAACUUGUCCUGAUCCGGGGAGAGCACCAUGUCCCUGAGCCUAGUCCAGAGCUGAACAUACUGCCAUAGGGCCAAGGCGCUCGGUGCACCCACGAUGUCCGAUA
Molecule: non-coding RNA, 1325 nt
Organism: Lolium perenne
Lineage: Eukaryota; Viridiplantae; Streptophyta; Magnoliopsida; Poales; Poaceae
Source: RefSeq, a predicted model, not a curated record